CCUAAACCCUCAGAAGGCUUAUGGACCUGAUGGGGUCCCUCCUAUUGUUCUCCGAAACUGUGCCUCCGUGCUUGCACCUUGCCUAGUCAAACUCUUUCAGCUCUGUCUGUCAACAUCUACCUUUCCUUCUUGCUGGAAGUUUGCCUACAUUCAACCUGUUCCUAAAAAGGGUGACCGCUCUAAUCCCUCAAACUACCGUCCUAUUGCUUUAAUUUCCUGCUUAUCUAAAGUUUUUUAAUCUAUCCUCAACAGGAAGAUUCUUAAACAUCUAUCACUUCACAACCUUCUAUCUGAUCGCCAGUAUGGGUUCCGUCAAGGCCGCUCUACUGGUGAUCUUCUCGCUUUCCUUACUGAGUCUUGGUCAUCCUCUUUUAGAGACUUUGGUGAAACUUUUGCUGUUGCCUUGGACAUAUCAAAAGCCUUUGAUAGAGUCUGGCACAAAGCUUUGAUUUCCAAACUACCCUCCUACGGUUUCUAUCCUUCUCUCUGUAACUUCAUCUCAAGUUUCCUUUCUGACCGUUCUAUUGCUGCUGUGGUAGACGGUCACUGUUCUUCUCCUAAAUCUAUUAACAGUGGUGUUCCUCAGGGUUCUGUCCUGUCACCCACUCUCUUCUUAUUAUUCAUUAAUGAUCUUCUAAACCAAACUUCUUGUCCUAUCCACUCCUAUGCUGAUGAUACCACCCUGCACUUUUCCACGUCUUUUCAUAGACGUCCAACCCUUCAGGAGGUAAACAUACGAGUAUCACGCAGGGAAGCCACAGAACGCCUGACUUCUGAUCUUUCUAAAAUUUCUGAUUGGGGCAGAGAAAACUUGGUAUUGUUCAAUGCCUCAAAAACUCAAUUCCUCCAUCUAUCAACUCGACACAAUCUUCCAGACAACUAUCCCCUCUUCUUCAAUGACACUCAACUGUCCCCCUCUUCUACACUGAACAUCCUCGGUCUGUCCUUUACCUAUAAUCUGAACUGGAAACUUCACAUCUCAUCUCUAGCUAAAACAGCUUCUAUGAAGUUAGGUGUUCUGAGACGUCUCCGCCAGUUUUUCUCACCCCCCCAGCUGCUAACUCUGUACAAGGGCCUUAUCCGUCCAUGUAUGGAGUAUGCUUCACAUGUCUGGGGGGGUUCCACUCAUACUGCUGUUCUAGACAGGGUGGAAUCAAAAGCUUUUCGUCUCAUCAACUCCUCUCCUCUAACUGACUGUCUUCAGCCUCUCUCUCACCGCCGCAAUGUUGCAUCUCUAGCUGUCUUCUACCGCUAUUUUCAUGCUAACUGCUCUUCUGAUCUUGCUAACUGCAUGCCUCCCCUCCUUCCGCGGCCUCGCUGCACAAGACUUUCUUCUUUCUCUCACUCCUAUUCUGUCCACCUCUCUAACGCAAGAGUUAACCAGUAUUCUCAAUCAUUCAUCCCUUUCUCUGGUAAACUCUGGAACUUCUUGCCUGCUUCUGUAUUUCCACCUUCCUAUGACUUGAAUUCCUUCAAGAGGGAGGUUUCAAGACACUUAUCCACCAAUUUUUGACCACUGCUUUGACCCUUUUAGGGACUGGCAUUUCAGUGGGCAUUUUUUUUUAUUAGAUUUUUGUUGCCCUUGGCCAGUAUCCUUCCUACAUAAAAAAAAAAAAAAAAAAAAAAAAAAAAAAAAAAAAAAAAAAAGUUUGUAAUUUGCCUCUGUGUCUAUUUUUCCAGCCUUUUUAUUCAUUGAUGUACACUUUUGCCUUUCACUGCUUCCUCCUUUAAUCCAUUCUAUAUCUUUAUAUAUUUACAUGGAAAGAUAUGUUUGCAUUAUUUGAACAUUCUCUCUCUCUCUCUCUCUCUCUCUCUCUCUCUCUCUCUCUCUCUCUCUCUCUCUCUCUCUCUCUCUCUCUCUCUCUCUCUCUCUCUCUCUCUCUAAUAUUGAGGUUCAUCUCUUGUCCAUAACAAAAGGGCAUUUCUGUCUGGUUCCUCAGGUUGGUUGACUAACCCUAAAGCUGCAGGGGUUUUCACACAUUUCUCCAUUUCAUAUGUCACUACUCCUAUGUGGAAAUAUGUGUGUUAUUUAGGAAGCUCUCUUCUAUCCGAGUUUCUUUUAAUCUUUAUCAUCAUGUGUCAAGUCAUCCAGUUCUGGCACUAUCUUAGUGGCUGUUCUUUGUAUUCUUUCAAAUCUCUACAUGAAACAUCACUGAAUUAAUUAAGCUUAGCAGAAAUUAUGUGAUGUGCCCUACUGAUGCUGGUGUGAAGGUGAGGUGUUUGUAGUGAGCCGUGUGAUGCCUUCCCCAGUGCUGAAUAUGGAGAGGGCAGCCAGACCACGUACAGGCGACGCCACACACUGGAGUUUUUUGAAGUGGAGUGCGACCACUCUUCCAUCAAGCAAGUGGGAAGUGGACUGGCGCUGGUCCCUGUGUUGCACCGUCACCCAGACCAGCUGUCACCUGGCAGUACAGGCAGUGCCACGUAGUGUGUCACUCAGCCUGUUAUGUACUGCCCUUGGCACAGUGUGUGAUAUCAGACUGCAGGAGUGGAGCCUCUGGAGCAGCUGAUGGCUGACCUGGAGCUGGAGAAGAUGGUUCAGGAUGCCAGCAAGACAGCUCUUUGACACUUCCAGUAGUGGUAGAAGCCUCCCAUCACCACCCUCACUCCUCUGCCACUGCUGACCACAACACUGAGGCUGUAUUCUUCAGGACCUGAUUGUUGCUUGGACUUGAGGCUUCCCUGCUUGGGACUGGCAGUUCUGCAAAUGCUGUUAGUGACAGCAUCCGCAGGACAACAGUGUAGGUGGUAUCCUCUGGAGGUCCUUCACCUGCAUGGAGCUAAGUCCACCUGUUGUAAUACUUGAAUGCGUAAGUGCUCAUCUUGAAGAUUUUAAGCACUGCAGUGGUCACCAUCUCAGACCUGACUGCCACAGGUACUUACUGUACACACUGCUAUCUAUAAUCCAGUGCUUAGCAGGUUCUUGGUUAUGGUUAUCAACUAUCUGGAUAAAUUUUACACAGCACCAACCUUAAAUUACAUGUACACAACAGCAAACUUUGGAGUUGUUUUAAGCAUUGCUACCAUCAGUCCAGCCUAGCUAACCAACCUAACAACCUACCCUAACCUAACUCUUCCUCAACAAUGUAGAACAUAUAUUUAACCUCAACAGUGUAGAACAUGUUUAAAAUAAUAUUUUUUUCUAGAAGUUUGGGUCCCAAAGGGUGAGCAGAAAGAAACAAUUUUUAUCUCGCAUUAUGCAACAAAGUCAUUUAGGGAAUUUGGUCAUAUUACUUAAAGCAGUGUCCAAAACAUUAGUUAACUAAAUUCCAUAUGCAGUUUACAGUUUGGUCAAGAUAAAAUAAUAAGCAAAUAUGCUGCUAAUGGGCAAAUUUUUACUCUCACCAGUUUUCUAAUGUGGAUGAAACUAUUUAUUUCUCGUAUUUUUUUGCCUGUUUUGAAUCAAUAUGGUUCUUGUUUUUAUGGAAAUCAUGAGCCAUUACUUUUUACUCCCUGACCCACCAUCCCCUCAGAAACUAAUUAUUUGCAGUAAACAAAAGCAGUUAAUACAAAACAGACUGAUAUGUACAAGAAAAAGGUAGAUUGGCCCUCACAAAUAAGCAGCCACUCACUGUGGCCACCAGCCAGCUGUCACACACCACCACCUAACCCAACCAAGUUAACCAAACUAACCUAUGUAAUCUAACAGAACGAAAUAACAUAACCUAACCAAACAAACCUAAACUAACUUGCCUCCCAAAAAUAGAUGUUUAAAAAUUGCCAUCAGCAUUAUAAAUAAUUUGCAGUGGGUAAAUAUGGGUUUAAAUUACUCAAUGACAAUCUCUAUCUGAUGAGAAAAGUAAGAAAAGCCAUGUUGAGACUGGUGAAAGAGUGAAAGAAUUCCCUACUGUGUGGCCUGGAACCAUAAGCCAUAACUUCACUCACUGGCAGGAGCACUCACACCUGUUUGGUUAUAUCACAGCAAUUCCAUCCCUAUAGCUCUCUAGGCCCCUGAUGUGUCAACCACACCAUGCUAGGUUCGCAACUAUGCUAACAAGAGUGUGAUAGGCAAAGCUGAUGAACUCACUAGUGCCUGUAGCAUGAUGAUGUUCUGCAGCAGCCUUGCUCUUCACGUGGCUCCGUAGGUCCUUAAACUUCCUCAGAGCUAC
Molecule: long non-coding RNA, 4109 nt
Organism: Scylla paramamosain (green mud crab)
Lineage: Eukaryota; Metazoa; Arthropoda; Malacostraca; Decapoda; Portunidae
Exons: 4
Source: RefSeq, a predicted model, not a curated record